RNAcentral lists this ribosomal RNA (684 nucleotides) under uncultured Chitinophagaceae bacterium. RNAcentral describes it as "bacterial SSU rRNA". It matches the Rfam family "Bacterial small subunit ribosomal RNA", at positions 97 to 779 of the family's 1533-position model. Lineage: Bacteria; Pseudomonadati; Bacteroidota; Chitinophagia; Chitinophagales; Chitinophagaceae. The record is from RNAcentral.
GGCAAACGGGUGCGUAACACGUACGCAACUUACCCAUUACAGGGGAAUAGCCCAGGGAAACUUGGAUUAAUACCCCAUAUUAUAUAGAGCUGGCAUCAGUUUUAUAUCAAAGCUUCGGCGGUAAUGGAUGGGCGUGCGGUUGAUUAGAUAGUUGGCGGGGUAACGGCCCACCAAGUCUACGAUCAAUAGCUGAUGUGAGAGCAUGAUCAGCCACACGGGCACUGAGACACGGGCCCGACUCCUACGGGAGGCAGCAGUAAGGAAUAUUGGGCAAUGGACGAAAGUCUGACCCAGCCAUGCCGCGUGAAGGAUGAAGGUCCUCUGGAUUGUAAACUUCUUUUAUCUGGGGCGAAAAUCACCCUUUCUAGGGUGCUUGACAGUACCAGAGGAAUAAGCACCGGCUAACUCCGUGCCAGCAGCCGCGGUAAUACGGAGGGUGCAAGCGUUAUCCGGAUUUACUGGGUUUAAAGGGUGCGUAGGCGGGCAGGUAAGUCAGUGGUGAAAUCCCCGAGCUUAACUCGGGAACUGCCGUUGAUACUAUCUGUCUUGAAUACCGUGGAGGUGAGCGGAAUAUGUCAUGUAACGGUGAAAUGCUUAGAUAUGACAUAGAACACCAAUUGCGAAGGCAGCUCGCUACACGGUCAUUGACGCUGAGGCACGAAAGCGUGGGGAUCAAACAGGAUU